This 89-nucleotide transfer RNA is filed under the name Coprinopsis cinerea AmutBmut pab1-1. Its description in RNAcentral is "tRNA-Val". It matches the Rfam family "tRNA". From Rfam's summary of the family: Transfer RNA (tRNA) molecules are approximately 80 nucleotides in length. The record is from RNAcentral. Lineage: Eukaryota; Fungi; Basidiomycota; Agaricomycetes; Agaricales; Psathyrellaceae.
GGUUGAAUGGUCUAGUGGUUAUGAUUUCUGUCUCACAUUACAUCAAAUGUGAUCACAGAAGGUCCCCAGUUCGAUCCUGGGUUCAACCA